RNAcentral lists this ribosomal RNA (380 nucleotides) under uncultured eukaryote. Its description in RNAcentral is "partial 18S ribosomal RNA". It matches the Rfam family "Eukaryotic small subunit ribosomal RNA", at positions 592 to 976 of the family's 1831-position model. The record is from RNAcentral.
CAAUAGCGUAUAUUAAAGUUGUUGCGGUUAAAAAGCUCGUAGUUGGAUUUCUGUUGGGAACGACCGGUCCGCCCAUUGGGUGUGUAUCUGGCUUGUUCUCGGCAUCUUCUUGGUGAACGUUGCUGCACUUGACUGUGUGGAGCGCUACCCAGGACUUUUACUUUGAGGAAAUUAGAGUGUUUCAAGCAGGCAUAUGCCUUGAAUACAUUAGCAUGGAAUAAUAAGAUAGGACCUCGGUUCUAUUUUGUUGGUUUCUAGAGCUGAGGUAAUGAUUAAUAGGGAUAGUUGGGGGCAUUCGUAUUUAACUGUCCGAGGUGAAAUUCUUGGAUUUGUUAAAGACGGACUACUGCGAAAGCAUUUGCCAAGGAUGUUUUCAUUGA